This 211-nucleotide ribosomal RNA is filed under the name uncultured bacterium. RNAcentral describes it as "partial 16S ribosomal RNA". It matches the Rfam family "Bacterial small subunit ribosomal RNA", at positions 1290 to 1500 of the family's 1533-position model. The record is from RNAcentral.
AGUUCGGAUUGCAGGCUGCAACUCGCCUGUAUGAAGUCGGAAUUGCUAGUAAUCGCGGAUCAGCAUGCCGCGGUGAAUACGUUCCCGGGCCUUGUACACACCGCCCGUCACACCAUGAGAGCCGGGAACACCCGAAGUCCGUAGUCUAACCGCAAGGAGGACGCGGCCGAAGGUGGGUUUGGUAAUUGGGGUGAAGUCGUAACAAGGUAUC